CCUCCUUUUCUUGGCGGGGUCUGGGCAUGUGGUGCCGCUCACUGUUAUGUGCAGAGGCAGAGGAAAAGGGCCAUGGCCCUACCGGAGUCAUGUCUUCAGUGCCAUCGGCUCCCUGUCUGUCAGUUCUAUCCUCAAACACCAGGACACGG
Nannospalax galili (Upper Galilee mountains blind mole rat) is the source of this 149-nucleotide small nucleolar RNA. Lineage: Eukaryota; Metazoa; Chordata; Mammalia; Rodentia; Spalacidae. The record is from Ensembl.